Molecule: long non-coding RNA, 959 nt
Organism: Canis lupus familiaris (dog)
Lineage: Eukaryota; Metazoa; Chordata; Mammalia; Carnivora; Canidae
Exons: 4
Source: RefSeq, a predicted model, not a curated record
GAACUUAACCAAAGACCUUUAGACCAAGAUCCACAGAACAAGACUACUAGGUCCAAGAUCAAGAUUCUGACUGUUGGGAGCCUGCUUCCUGAUUCAUAAACAACUGUCUUCCAGCUAUGUCCUCACGUGGCAAAACAGCUGAAAUCCAGGAUGCUGGAAGCCAUCUCCCCUACCUCCCUCCCAUCUCUUCUUCACACAUCAGAUUCCAACAAGAGAAAUUCCCCUCCAAUUUGUUGCCACCACCAUCUUGCAGCAUAGAAAAUUCUGGCUCCCUGCUCUUCAUGAAGGUGAGACCAAGGUAGAAUCAUCUGCUAUCCAGAGCUGUAACCAAAAUGGAGUUCCGCCAUGACAGCUUUACACAUGAGAGAGAAAUUCUUAAGUCAGACAGUUGAAUUUCAGAGGCUGCUUGUACUCUGAUUCAGCAACACUCUUCUGAUGGAAAACUGCCACACAAAGAAUUAAGGUGUUCACUGUGAAAUAACAGAAACCUCAUCGUGUGCAACGGGUACAACGGACCAUCUGUAGUGCAUGUACAUAAUACAACACAUACAGCAGGAGUUCAAAGGCCGAAAGAUGUGAAGAGUUUCCUCACCUGUAAAACUGCAAAACAGAACUGUCCUGAUACGGUACUUGUGAGGAUUAAAUGGAUGAUGAAUAUAAAGGGCUUUGCCGAGGACCUCGUUCUUACUCAAUAAUUUAGCUAUUAUCAAUAUUACUGCCUACUAAUCUCUGCGUUGCCUACAAAAGUACCCCAACAAAAGUUUUCUUUGUAUUUCUCACCCUCUCACAAAUACAACCCCAAUUAUAUAGUAUCUGUUCUUCUGAACAGAGUCCAGCAAACUAAGAAUACUAUUUAAGAGAAUUUCUUUUGCUUGUCUCUUUUAGAGAUCACUCUUAUCUCAAAUUGAUCUUUAAAUUCUAGAAAUGUCCAGUCCCUACAAAUAGAGUUUAAAAUUUAA